GUGACCAAGUGUCUCAUUUGAAUGUAUUUUCAGUUUGAUUCUACACGUGAAGUUUGCAUUCAGUGAUAUCACCACAUUGUUACAUGGACCUGGGCCAGUGUUUCUCCAUCUUUGUUGAGCGUUGGAAGGAGAUAGGAAGCUUGUGAAAAAUAUCAUGCUUGGGCCCAACCCCAUGGAUUCUGACUGGGGAGUUUUGGAGGUGUUAAAGAGAAAUUGAAGACAGACUAGCCCUGAGACUUCCCUCUUGAUAUUCCUGCUCCCCGCAACAUUCACUCAAUUAUUUUAUUAUGUGUUGACAUCAUUCUCAAUGGAAUGGAUGAUGGUAUUCUGGCAGAGUCUCCUUCCAAAUUUUGCUGAGUGUCACUAAACCACAGCAUCGAAAGGGACUUUAAAGAUCACCUCAUCCCAUCGGGUGCCCGGGUCCCCACCAUAUCAGCCUUCUGUGGUGCAAGUAAUAGAAACCAACUUUGUGUAAGUUAAACCAAAAAAGGUAUUUAUUCUAUUAAUACAGAUGGCUCAUAGAAUUAAAAAAAAAAAACCCUGAAGAACCGGCUAAGAGGAGUUAGAACCCAUAUUGACUCUGGGGAGCUAGGUGCUGGGUGCUGACAAUGUCUUUAAGUAUUACCCACUGAUGACCUCAGGGGUAUUAUUUUAGGGAGUUUUAAUGUCCCCUCGCCAACCCUCAGUCUGGGUAGUAGAGAUUCCUUAUAUUUAUUCAAAAUGCUAUGUACAAGUAGUUUAAAAUUGUCUCCCAAAACUUGCCCUCAACCAGAUUGCCACCCCAUCCUUUCUACACAGAAAUGAUAAG
Long non-coding RNA from Acinonyx jubatus (cheetah), 808 nucleotides. RefSeq lists it as uncharacterized. The record is from RefSeq and is a predicted model, not a curated record. The transcript is spliced from 4 exons. NCBI's taxonomy places the organism in Eukaryota, Metazoa, Chordata, Mammalia, Carnivora, Felidae.